This 341-nucleotide long non-coding RNA is filed under the name Medicago truncatula (barrel medic). RNAcentral's name for it is "long non-coding RNA (MTRU_LNC001564)". Lineage: Eukaryota; Viridiplantae; Streptophyta; Magnoliopsida; Fabales; Fabaceae. The record is from RNAcentral.
GCACAAGACUAUUGGUCACACUUCAAUGGCUACAAGAGUUCAAGACACUCUAUAAAUAGAAGAGGAAGGUUCAACAUUACUUGCACUAGUGCAAAACAUACAAGAAAACACCACAAAAGUGUUUGAAACAUUGAUCUCACAAAGAUUCCAAGAAAUCUUUAAAAGUGUGAAUCAAUAUCUCUCUUAUCUUUUUAAAGAUAAACUUCUCCCUCCAUUCUACUCUUGUCUGAUUUCAAUCAUUCAAACUUUCAAACAAAUUGUAAAGAAAGUCUCAUCUAGCUUAGGGGUACUAAAGUGUUAGUUUGAGCAGAAGGUGUAAAAGUCUAAGUGGGUAACUUAGC